RNAcentral lists this ribosomal RNA (2418 nucleotides) under Escherichia coli. RNAcentral's name for it is "partial 23S ribosomal RNA". It matches the Rfam family "Bacterial large subunit ribosomal RNA", at positions 546 to 2925 of the family's 2925-position model. Lineage: Bacteria; Pseudomonadati; Pseudomonadota; Gammaproteobacteria; Enterobacterales; Enterobacteriaceae. The record is from RNAcentral.
GAACCUGAAACCGUGUACGUACAAGCAGUGGGAGCACAGAGCAAUCUGUGUGACUGCGUACCUUUUGUAUAAUGGGUCAGCGACUUAUAUUCUGUAGCAAGGUUAACCGAAUAGGGGAGCCGAAGGGAAACCGAGUCUUAACCGGGCGUUAAGUUGCAGGGUAUAGACCCGAAACCCGGUGAUCUAGCCAUGGGCAGGUUGAAGGUUGGGUAACACUAACUGGAGGACCGAACCGACUAAUGUUGAAAAAUUAGCGGAUGACUUGUGGCUGGGGGUGAAAGGCCAAUCAAACCGGGAGAUAGCUGGUUCUCCCCGAAAGCUAUUUAGGUAGCGCCUCGUGAAUUCAUCUCCGGGGGUAGAGCACUGUUUCGGCAAGGGGGUCAUCCCGACUUACCAACCCGAUGCAAACUGCGAAUACCGGAGAAUGUUAUCACGGGAGACACACGGCGGGUGCUAACGUCCGUCGUGAAGAGGGAAACAACCCAGACCGCCAGCUAAGGUCCCAAAGUCAUGGUUAAGUGGGAAACGAUGUGGGAAGGCCCAGACAGCCAGGAUGUUGGCUUAGAAGCAGCCAUCAUUUAAAGAAAGCGUAAUAGCUCACUGGUCGAGUCGGCCUGCGCGGAAGAUGUAACGGGGCUAAACCAUGCACCGAAGCUGCGGCAGCGACACUGUGUGUUGUUGGGUAGGGGAGCGUUCUGUAAGCCUGUGAAGGUGUGCUGUGAGGCAUGCUGGAGGUAUCAGAAGUGCGAAUGCUGACAUAAGUAACGAUAAAGCGGGUGAAAAGCCCGCUCGCCGGAAGACCAAGGGUUCCUGUCCAACGUUAAUCGGGGCAGGGUGAGUCGACCCCUAAGGCGAGGCCGAAAGGCGUAGUCGAUGGGAAACAGGUUAAUAUUCCUGUACUUGGUGUUACUGCGAAGGGGGGACGGAGAAGGCUAUGUUGGCCGGGCGACGGUUGUCCCGGUUUAAGCGUGUAGGCUGGUUUUCCAGGCAAAUCCGGAAAAUCAAGGCUGAGGCGUGAUGACGAGGCACUACGGUGCUGAAGCAACAAAUGCCCUGCUUCCAGGAAAAGCCUCUAAGCAUCAGGUAACAUCAAAUCGUACCCCAAACCGACACAGGUGGUCAGGUAGAGAAUACCAAGGCGCUUGAGAGAACUCGGGUGAAGGAACUAGGCAAAAUGGUGCCGUAACUUCGGGAGAAGGCACGCUGAUAUGUAGGUGAAGUCCCUCGCGGAUGGAGCUGAAAUCAGUCGAAGAUACCAGCUGGCUGCAACUGUUUAUUAAAAACACAGCACUGUGCAAACACGAAAGUGGACGUAUACGGUGUGACGCCUGCCCGGUGCCGGAAGGUUAAUUGAUGGGGUCAGCGCAAGCGAAGCUCUUGAUCGAAGCCCCGGUAAACGGCGGCCGUAACUAUAACGGUCCUAAGGUAGCGAAAUUCCUUGUCGGGUAAGUUCCGACCUGCACGAAUGGCGUAAUGAUGGCCAGGCUGUCUCCACCCGAGACUCAGUGAAAUUGAACUCGCUGUGAAGAUGCAGUGUACCCGCGGCAAGACGGAAAGACCCCGUGAACCUUUACUAUAGCUUGACACUGAACAUUGAGCCUUGAUGUGUAGGAUAGGUGGGAGGCUUUGAAGUGUGGACGCCAGUCUGCAUGGAGCCGACCUUGAAAUACCACCCUUUAAUGUUUGAUGUUCUAACGUGGACCCGUGAUCCGGGUUGCGGACAGUGUCUGGUGGGUAGUUUGACUGGGGCGGUCUCCUCCUAAAGAGUAACGGAGGAGCACGAAGGUUGGCUAAUCCUGGUCGGACAUCAGGAGGUUAGUGCAAUGGCAUAAGCCAGCUUGACUGCGAGCGUGACGGCGCGAGCAGGUGCGAAAGCAGGUCAUAGUGAUCCGGUGGUUCUGAAUGGAAGGGCCAUCGCUCAACGGAUAAAAGGUACUCCGGGGAUAACAGGCUGAUACCGCCCAAGAGUUCAUAUCGACGGCGGUGUUUGGCACCUCGAUGUCGGCUCAUCACAUCCUGGGGCUGAAGUAGGUCCCAAGGGUAUGGCUGUUCGCCAUUUAAAGUGGUACGCGAGCUGGGUUUAGAACGUCGUGAGACAGUUCGGUCCCUAUCUGCCGUGGGCGCUGGAGAACUGAGGGGGGCUGCUCCUAGUACGAGAGGACCGGAGUGGACGCAUCACUGGUGUUCGGGUUGUCAUGCCAAUGGCACUGCCCGGUAGCUAAAUGCGGAAGAGAUAAGUGCUGAAAGCAUCUAAGCACGAAACUUGCCCCGAGAUGAGUUCUCCCUGACCCUUUAAGGGUCCUGAAGGAACGUUGAAGACGACGACGUUGAUAGGCCGGGUGUGUAAGCGCAGCGAUGCGUUGAGCUAACCGGUACUAAUGAACCGUGAGGCUUAACCUUACAACGCCGAAGGUGUUU